AACGGCCGUACCAUGCUGAAUAUACCGGUUCUCGUUAGAUCACCGAAGUUAAGCAUCAUUGGGCGCGGUCAGUACUUGGAUGGGUGACCACCUGGGAACACUGCGUGCCGUU
Molecule: ribosomal RNA, 112 nt
Filed under: Caerostris darwini
Lineage: Eukaryota; Metazoa; Arthropoda; Arachnida; Araneae; Araneidae
Source: RNAcentral